Molecule: unclassified non-coding RNA, 250 nt
Filed under: plant metagenome
Description: partial contains small subunit ribosomal RNA, internal transcribed spacer 1, and 5.8S ribosomal RNA
Source: RNAcentral
GUAGGUGAACCUGCGGAAGGAUCAUUAUCGAAGCUUAGCGCACCCGAGUCUUCGGACUUGAAAGCGCAACGCUGAAAACGUGCCCCGCACAAUCUAAGCGCCGAAGCGGUGCGCCGGGUGAGACCGGCGCGGUACGUCUUCGGGGCGGCGGCGUCGAACUGCAGCGGCUGGUUCGGCGUCGUUCAAACUGGUAAUCGGUGUUCGGGUGUCGGCCCUCCUCGGCUUAAAGUACCGUUGCAAUCUGCGGUCG